RNAcentral lists this ribosomal RNA (960 nucleotides) under Triticum aestivum (bread wheat). RNAcentral's name for it is "partial small subunit ribosomal RNA". The record is from RNAcentral. Lineage: Eukaryota; Viridiplantae; Streptophyta; Magnoliopsida; Poales; Poaceae.
AUGGUCUCCGAGGGCGCCAUGAUGUGCCUCUCCCUCGCCUACGUGGCCGACAAGGUGCCCGAGGGGCGGCGAGCGGCGGCCUUCGGGGUGUUCUCCGGCGUCUGCACUGCCGGCUUCGUAGGCGGCACCAUCGCGGCCCGCUUCCUCUCCGUGUCCUCUACGUUCCAGGUGGCGACGUUGGCGUCCGUUGCUGCGGCGGUGUACCUGAGGGCCUUUGUCCAGGAGACGGACCGCGGAGCGUCGCUGCUGCGCGACGAGGAGGCCUCGCGCCUGCUCUUCCCUACCUCCUCUAGCCCCGAGGAGGCGUCGCCGAGGCUCCCGCAUCUCCGGAAGGCGCCGUCGCUGUCGGAGAUGGCCACCCUUCUUACCAGCAGCUCAACUUUCACAAGAGCAGCGGUCGUCACAUUUUUCCACAGCCUUGGCGAAACAGGCCUGCAAACUGCAUUACUGUAUUUCCUGAAGGCCCAAUUCCACUAUACCAAGAACCAGUAUGCUAAUUUGUUGCUUAUUAUUGGCAUUACAGGAAGUUUCUCACAGCUGACCAUGAUGCCUUUCUUAGCGCCGAAGCUGGGUGAGCAGAAGCUACUUGUCGUGGCACUUACAGGGAGCUGCGUGCAUGGAUUCCUAUACAGCAUUGCAUGGUCAUUCUGGGUCCCUUAUCUUGCUGCAAGCUGUGUGAUUCUAAGCAUUUUGGUCGGCCCUUGUAUAAGGAGCAUUGUAUCAAAAAAAGUAGGGCCUUCUGAGCAGGGAAUGGUUCAAGGCUGUAUUACAGGAAUCAGCUCAACUGCAAGUGUCAUAUCUCCUCUAGUUUUUACUCCGCUCACAGCAUGGUUCCUAUCAGAGACCACACCUUUCAACUUCAAAGGUUUCAGCCUGGCUUGUGCUGGAUUUGCUACGUUGGUGGCACUCAUAAUGAGCAUUAAUAUGAGGCCAGCAGAGGUUCAGCCAGAUACCAGAUAG